UACGGGGGGGCAAGCGUUGUUCGGAAUUACUGGGCGUAAAGGGCUCGUAGGUGGCCAACUAAGUCAUGCGUGAAAUCCCUCGGCUUAACCGGGGAACUGCGUCUGAUACUGGAUGGCUUGAGUUUGGGAGAGGGAUGCGGAAUUCCAGGUGUAGCGGUGAAAUGCGUAGAUAUCUGGAGGAACACCGGUGGCGAAGGCGGCAUCCUGGACCAACACUGACACUGAGGAGCGAAAGCCAGGGGAGCAAACGGG
RNAcentral lists this ribosomal RNA (252 nucleotides) under uncultured bacterium. RNAcentral's name for it is "partial 16S ribosomal RNA". It matches the Rfam family "Bacterial small subunit ribosomal RNA", at positions 524 to 776 of the family's 1533-position model. The record is from RNAcentral.